AGGUUUUUCUUUCGUUUAAAGAUGACACACUCUGAAAUUAAUUUGAUUUUGAGAUUUGAGAACUUGGACAUACAUACUUCCUAUGGAAGAUUCAAUGCCAUCCCCAUCAAGCUACCAAUGACUUUCUUCACAGAAUUGGAAAAAACUACUUUAAAGUUCAUAUGGAACCAAUAAAGAGCCUGCAUUGCCAAGUCAAUCCUAAGCCAAAAGAACAAAGCUGGAGGCAUCACACUACCUGACUUCAAACUAUACUACAAGGCUACAGUAACCAAAACAGCAUGGUACUGGUACCAAAACAGAGAUGUAGACCAAUGGAACAGAAUUUUUUGUAGUUUUUUAAAAAAUCACACAUUUUGCAGCCUUCGUGUAUUUGUAUAAAUAUCUGUUUACACAUUGCUUUGUUUUCUGGUAUUAUUUCUUGUUAAUUCCUUAAGGAAACAUUGUAGACUCUUAUAUAUGCCUUGUAUAUUCUUGUUCAGUGAAUGAAUAACUUAAGAACAGAAAUAUGUCAUGUAGAUAUAUAAAUUUCUGAGAAAUAAUCUAGUCCUAUCUCCAAAUUACUGAAGACAAAGAAACAGAAACUUGG
RNAcentral lists this long non-coding RNA (586 nucleotides) under Homo sapiens (human). Its description in RNAcentral is "non-protein coding lnc-HSF2-1:1". The record is from RNAcentral. Lineage: Eukaryota; Metazoa; Chordata; Mammalia; Primates; Hominidae.